CGUCAUUCACUGCCCACCCCAUUAUGUUAAUCUUUCUGGCUUUACAUAUCUCCUCCCAAAGACCAGCCUCUGCUAAGAACUCUACACUUAGCUGUCAGAGAUACAAGAGCGUACUCAGUAAAUGCUUGCUUUACUUCAUCUACAACAUUUUGUGCCAUGGAGCAAUGUUCUUUGAAUCUAGUGUAACUGCUUUAACAAGGUGUUACUUUGAGUUUCUGCAUUAGAAGCUCAUCUCAACAGAAGAAUGCAAAGCAGGAAUUGUUAGCGUUUGGGCAGCUAUUUGGAAAACAUAGUUUCUAUGCAGGAUUUUAAACUACUGAAAUUAGGCUUGGGUUUGGGGUUUUUUUAUCUUCAAAAGAAGAGCUAGUAAGACUAAACCACAAGUCCUGGGCCAGAUAAACUGAAGCUGAAACUGUAUUUUUUUUAACUGUAAGAACCAUAAGUAUGAGACACCAAGAAGUUCCUGCUAGUGAAGCAAAUGUAUUAUAUACAAGGAUAGGACCUUCAUGUACAGGUAACAAUAUUACAGUCAGCUCUGUGCAUCACAUGAAGGACAAACCUUGCCUCACCAAAAGAAGAGGAUGUCCCAGUGAUACUUGGACCGAGAACCAAGCUACCAGUACUCAUAUGCAAAAACAAACCAUCAGCAAUCAGUUCCACAGCUUGGGUAACAGCGAAUUAAACCGCAGCGAUGAAUGCUACACAGAGACGUCAGUUAUUGCUCAGCCCAUAUUUGUUUUUGAAAAGAAAGAACGACCUUUCAAGAGGCCUGCAGAAGACCUGGUUUGCAAGGCUGAAAAUGAUUUCAUUGGUUGUUCCAGGAAACGGGCAAGAUCUUCAUCUUUUACUUUCCAAACGUCCGACUCGCAGUUCUACAUGGAUACUGCACUCUCUCAGAAAAGAGUGAGAUCAUCUUCCUGUACCAUCCUUCCGACCUUUCCUCCAUCACAGCCGGUAAAGAAUAACAUAUUCAUGACCUCAGCUCUUCUCCAAAGAAACCAUGACAUCACAAGAACAGAAAAAGGACCCUUGUCACAAAUUCAGCAGUGGACUGUCAUAAGACCUGCCAUUUUACAGCCACCACAGUCUCAGAUAUGUGAGGAAAGAAGGCAGAUGUGCACUGAAAAUACACUGGCAUCUUCCAAAACUAAAGAGAAAGCAAAUAUUCAGUUAUCUGAAGAGAGCUCUUAUUGCCCAGCAGAAAACUCAGCAAGUUCCGAGACAACAGUGAGGCCAUCUAUCUCCAUGCAUCUUUCUAGCCCUAAAACAAUAGGAAAUCAGCCAGUAGAAGAUGUAACUUUUUUAAACAACAGAAAUUCUACUUUUGUGUUUGGAGAAAACAUGGUAGAGAGAGUUUUGAGUCCUCAGAAAUCUCCCAAGCUGAAUAAUGAAACUGAUCUAUGCAAGAAAGAAAUAACAUCCACAGACGCCAAAACUUUUCAUAUUAGUUAUUCACAUAGUAAAACAUUUUUUGUCAAGAAGUCAACACUAAUUGAAUCAGCUGCGGCUUACAUUUCCAAACCAGCACAGACAUAUUUGUUAGAGAAAGUUGAAGUUAUAACAGGGGAAGAAGCAGAACAUAAUGUGUUGCAGAUCAGUUGCAAGCUUUUUGUAUUUAAUAAACUCUCACUAUCCUGGACUGAAAGAGGAAGAGGAUCCCUGAGGCUUAAUGACACUUCAAGCAAUAAACAUGGAACAUUACAGUCAAGGCUUGUUAUGCGAAAUCAAGGCAGUUUGAGACUGAUUCUCAACACCAAACUCUGGACUCAGAUGGUGAUAGAAAGAGCAAAUCGCAAGAGUCUGUGCAUCACUGCGACAGACCUAGAAGACCAUUCUGUUAAAGUAUUUCUAAUACAGGCAAGUUCAAAAGAUACUGGGUACCUGUAUGCAGCAAUACAUCACCGUCUUGUUGCACUGCGAAGCUUUGCUGAGCAAGAAGUGGAUGCAAAUCAGGUUGACACAGAGCCAGAAACAGCCUUUCAUUCAUUAAACUGUGAUAGUGAUGAUGAUGAUGAAGAUGAAACAAUAACUCAAGCGAGCAGCAAUGGAUCAGAAGUCUAUUUAUGAGGAUCCAGAUCUACAAGGGAGAAGAGAUAGGUAUGGGGAAUAUACCCGAGGGGCUGGGGAGACAGAUGCUACCAUCAGAUGAGGGCAGGAGACAAAAACUCACAGAUCAUUCUAGAUGGAUCCGCAGACAGCCUGUUGUUUGCUCAUGACAACUACCUAUGAUUACAGCAAUACAGUUGGUAGUUUCAUCUUGCUGAAAAUUGUAAACCAUCUCAGCAAUCCUUGGAGUAAGGAAAUCCUACGCAUUCACGUUCUAUGAUUUUCAAGCAAAGAUUAACUUUCAGGACAACAUAAGCUUAAUACAGCAGAAAUUGACUUCAGAAGCACUUUAAGGAUUCCAAUCUUCAUUCCUUGCGCUGGAAUGGGAAUGAUGGGGUGGCCUCCAGUAUUCAAGAAACUUUACAAAGCUUUCAGAUUUGGAAUUAAUCAUAUAUAGAGACAUUAAUAACCUGAUGGAUUUUAUAUCUAAUCAAGGUUCAUUCAUCAUAUUGAUGGAGAGAAUUGUUUAACCAUCAAAUAGUGAUAUUUCUAAAAGAAGAUAUAUUUAUUGUUUGUUUCAGUUAUGUAAUGUCUGUCCAUAAAAAGAUGUAUAUUAUGAAAACUUUAAACAUCAUUUUAUUGGAAAGAGCCAUUGUAAUUGUUUGGUAACAUUCAAGGUCCUAUGCCGCAGUCCGUAUUCAUGCAGAACUCCUUGUGAAUGGGAGUUUCAUAUGAAUGAAGUCUACGGAAACUAACCUUUAAUUAAAUAAGAUCUUUGUUUUGAAAAUCUCA
Chrysemys picta bellii (western painted turtle) is the source of this 2838-nucleotide RNA transcript. It is a transcript of the gene named RAN binding protein 3 like, with no coding region annotated. The record is from RefSeq and is a predicted model, not a curated record. NCBI's taxonomy places the organism in Eukaryota, Metazoa, Chordata, Testudines, Emydidae.